UGGGGAAUUUUGGACAAUGGGCGAAAGCCUGAUCCAGCAAUGCCGCGUGAGUGAUGAAGGCCUUCGGGUUGUAAAGCUCUGUCUUUUGGGACGAUAAUGACGGUACCAAAGGAGGAAGCCACGGCUAACUACGUGCCAGCAGCCGCGGUAAUACGUAGGUGGCAAGCGUUGUCCGGAUUUGACUGGGCGUAAAGGAUGCGUAGGCGGAUUUUUAAGUGAGAUGUGAAAUACCCGGGCUUAACUUGGGUGCUGCAUUUCAAACUGGGAAUCUAGAGUGCGGGAGAGGAGAAUGGAAUUCCUAGUGUAGCGGUGAAAUGCGUAGAGAUUAGGAAGAACACCAGUGGCGAAGGCGAUUCUCUGGACCGUAACUGACGCUGAGGCAUGAAAGCGUGGGUAGCAAACAGGAUUAGAUACCCUGGUAGUCCACGCCGUAAACGAUGAGUACUAGGUGUAGGAGGUAUCGACCCCUUCUGUGCCGCAGUUAACACAAUAAGUACUCCGCCUGGGAAGUACGAUCGCAAGAUUAAAACUCAAAGGAAUUGACGGGGUCAUAGCUGUUUUCCU
RNAcentral lists this ribosomal RNA (564 nucleotides) under uncultured bacterium. RNAcentral's name for it is "partial 16S ribosomal RNA". It matches the Rfam family "Bacterial small subunit ribosomal RNA", at positions 355 to 1375 of the family's 1533-position model. The record is from RNAcentral.